RNAcentral lists this long non-coding RNA (525 nucleotides) under Rhinopithecus bieti (black snub-nosed monkey). Its description in RNAcentral is "lncRNA (ENSRBIG00000045664.1)". The record is from RNAcentral. Lineage: Eukaryota; Metazoa; Chordata; Mammalia; Primates; Cercopithecidae.
CCCAUCUUUGUUUAACGGCUACCCAUCAAGCCGCCUGAUGAAUUCUGCAGAUGCAGCCAGCGUCCUCCUUGGGCUCCUUGAGUUGUGGGCGUCUCAAUCAGACCUUGUUGUUCUUCCAGGGCUGGCCAAAGAAACCUCUUCUACAGGGGACAACAAGAGAAAGAAAACAGCUGUGCCCACCUACUUCAGAUCCCGGCACACAAUGUGCUGUGUGACCCAGGACAAGAUGCUUUGCCCUCUGAGCUGGUGAAAACGAAGAUGAUGCUCCCUUCAUCUUAGGCUGAAAUAGAACACAAACAGAGAUGUGGCGAGAUGAUGAUCAUCCUUCCAAAUGUUCUAUUAGACUGGGUUAGCUACAUUUAAAAAUAAGAACAAACCAAAAAUAAUCCUCAGAAAAGCUUCAUGAAGUUCAAAAGCUCCAUUGCUCAUGUUGCCUCCAAAGGGGCAAGAAUUUUGCCAUUGCCACCCCUGUAUUCCCCUCCUAAAACAGAACCUGGCAUAUAGUAGGUGCUCAAUAAAUACUGG